RNAcentral lists this small RNA (107 nucleotides) under Marmota monax (woodchuck). Lineage: Eukaryota; Metazoa; Chordata; Mammalia; Rodentia; Sciuridae. The record is from RNAcentral.
GUUGGGUGUGGCGGGGCACACCUGUAGUCCCAGCCGCCGGGGAGGCUAGGGAGGGGAUCACUUGGCCAGUUCAGGACCAGCCUGGACCGCAGCAAGACCCUGUCUCA